This 269-nucleotide ribosomal RNA is filed under the name uncultured prokaryote. RNAcentral's name for it is "partial 16S ribosomal RNA". It matches the Rfam family "Bacterial small subunit ribosomal RNA", at positions 524 to 792 of the family's 1533-position model. The record is from RNAcentral.
UACGGAUGGUGCAAACGUUGUUCGGAAUCACUGGGCUUAAAGGGCGCGUAGGCGGUUGGUUAAGUCUGGCGUGAAAGCCCUCGGCUCAACCGAGGAAUUGCACUGGAUACUGGCCAACUGGAGGAAGGUAGGGGAGCGUGGAACUACCAGUGGAGCGGUGAAAUGCGUAGAUAUUGGUAGGAACGCCGGUGGCGAAAGCGGCGCUCUGGGCCUCUCCUGACGCUGAGGCGCGAAAGCUAGGGGAGCAAACAGGAUUAGAUACCCCCGUA